GACAAUAGAGCUUCCACAUGGUUACCUUUUCUUGUGGGGCUCACUCUUGAGUCUCAGCCACCAUACUAUGAAGAAGCCAUUUACUACAUAGAAAGACACGUGGGCUAUUCAGUAACCUCGGCUGAUAAAUAGUUUUCAGGCAUCUUCCUCCCUGUCUCUCUCUUCCCUCCCUUUUUUCACAGAUCCUAAAUGAAUACCUACUAUGUGAAUACAGUGGGAAUAUCAAAAUGAUCUAUCCAUGAUCUAUGAUUUCAAACUGAUGACUUUGAAGAUCAAUCUUACAGUAAAUUAAGUGUUAUACUAACAGGUGUCAGUGAAGUACUAUGACACAUGUAGUAAAAAACUGGCUAAUUUUACCAGAUGCUAGAAGAAGAGAAAGAAGCAAAGAAUCAGAGAAGAUCUCAUCUAGUUAUCUGACUGAUAAUGGCUUUUCUUCAGAUUGAGAAGUAUCUGUGGGUGGCAACAGCGAAUAGGAGGUUGAUAUGAGGACCUAAAAGACUUGAAGAGACUCUGCUUUGUUUUGAAUCAUUCAUAUGUGGUGCCACACUAUUCAGAAAUUAAUGUUAUUCCAUAAAUGAAUAAUGAUUUAAAUGUACUCAGUAAUUGUAAAUGCACAAGCAUUUUUCCUGUCAUAUAAUAAUAAAAAAAAUGAUGUGGUUU
Molecule: long non-coding RNA, 660 nt
Organism: Felis catus (domestic cat)
Lineage: Eukaryota; Metazoa; Chordata; Mammalia; Carnivora; Felidae
Exons: 3
Source: RefSeq, a predicted model, not a curated record